This 645-nucleotide long non-coding RNA is filed under the name Salvia miltiorrhiza (redroot sage). RNAcentral describes it as "long non-coding RNA (SMIL_LNC009097)". Lineage: Eukaryota; Viridiplantae; Streptophyta; Magnoliopsida; Lamiales; Lamiaceae. The record is from RNAcentral.
GGUGCUUAGUUGUAAUAUACUGUGGCAGAAAUUCUGUAAGUGAUGCAAAACGCGAAAGCCCUAAUAGUUAAAGGAUUUAUGGGCAUUAACCCCUUAAUUUUUUUGUAUCAUGACUCGUGAAUGUUCACAUGUCCGAAUUCUUCGUUGUUGCUUCCUUUUUUCUUUUUUCUUUUUUUCCCUUUUUUUAGUGGAUCGGAGCUAUUUUGUCAUCAAGAAUUUUUUUGGGUUUUUGUUUUUAUUUUUUUGUGUGGAGCUGUUGUUUUCAAGAAUUGUUGGUUUGAUGUUCCUAGCUAACAUGUCGUUAACAUUGAGGAUGCAUAGUCCAUAUCAGCAAAAAAAAAUCAUAAUGCUUUUUUCUUAUACCUUAAUAAUUAUGACUGCAUUGUUAAAUCUACGAAUCACGCAAAAACCAAAUUCUUAUUUAUUCUUUUAUCAUUUAACUUUAAAGAAAUGAAUAAAUUUAAUAAAUAAGACUUUGAUAUAUUAUAUAUAGGAGAAAAGAACUACUCUCUCCAUCCCACGAAUCUUGACACGUUUUCUGUGACACCCAAAUCCAAUUUAACUUUACAUGGAAACGCACGCGGAAAAACUAUGAAUAUAAAUAAAUAUUUAAUGAGAAAAUCAGGAAAUAAAUUUUUAUUUAAA